This is a long non-coding RNA of Drosophila nasuta, 552 nucleotides long. RefSeq lists it as uncharacterized. NCBI's taxonomy places the organism in Eukaryota, Metazoa, Arthropoda, Insecta, Diptera, Drosophilidae. The record is from RefSeq and is a predicted model, not a curated record. The transcript is spliced from 4 exons.
GGCAUUGUGUAUUGUGCUUCGUUAAAUUUAUAAUUGUGAAUUGUAUUGUUGUUUAAUUGCUUGAAAAUGUUAAUAGUCGCGAAGUAUUUGAGUUUAUUUGUGUAGUGUUAUUAGAAGUAACGAGAAUAACGUAUGUUUAACGUAAUUAAAGUGUUUUUCUUGCGGUGCAAUUAAAUUUUUCGUGUGUGUAAAAAAAUAUGGAAGCAAAGUGCGCAGCAGAAAAAAUACGUUCGACAAGGAUGGCAGCAUAUUCGCGUGGAUCAUCAACUUUAUUCACUUAUCUACGAAAACAACAUCGACUUUCCACCGUUUAAGAGGUCUCUCGCUACUCGAUGUCGAGGUGGAUGCCACAAAAGUGCAGUCCUUGUGGUCGCUUGCUGGCUUGUUGAUGCCCCCGAGGCCCGCCACGUUAAUGGAAAUUAAUCACAAAUACAACAGCAAUUUGUUUGAAUGCGAAUGUGUUUUGUUAUUUUAAUGGGAAUGCGAAUGGAGGCAGACAUGCGAUGCUGAUGUUGAUUUAAAUGCUGAUUAUGAUUUCGAUUGUGAUGCUGA